This 447-nucleotide ribosomal RNA is filed under the name uncultured bacterium. RNAcentral describes it as "bacterial SSU rRNA". It matches the Rfam family "Bacterial small subunit ribosomal RNA", at positions 29 to 520 of the family's 1533-position model. The record is from RNAcentral.
AACGAACGCUGGCGGCAUGCCUAACACAUGCAAGUCGAACGCCCUCUUCGGAGGGAGUGGCGGCACGGGUGCGUAACGCGUGGGAACCUGCCCUUAGGUUCGGAAUAACUCAGAGAAAUUUGAGCUAAUACCGGAUAAUGUCUUCGGACCAAAGAUUUAUCGCCUUUGGAUGGGCCCGCGUUGGAUUAGCUAGUUGGUGGGGUAAAGGCCUACCAAGGCGACGAUCCAUAGCUGGUCUGAGAGGAUGAUCAGCCACACUGGGACUGAGACACGGCCCAGACUCCUACGGGAGGCAGCAGUGGGGAAUACUGGACAAUGGGCGAAAGCCUGAUCCAGCAAUGCCGCGUGAGUGAUGAAGGCCUUAGGGUUGUAAAGCUCUUUUACUGGGGAUGAUAAUGACAGUACCCAGAGAAUAAGCUCCGGCUAACUCCGUGCCAGCAGCCGCGG